GCUGGGUGUGGUAGCGGGUGCCUGUAAUCCCAGCUACUCCGGAGGCUGAGGCAGGAGAAUCGCUUGAACCCAGGAGGCAGAGGGUGCAGUGAACCGAGAUCAUGCCACUGCACUCCAGCCUGGGUGACAGAGUGAGACUCUGCCUCAA
This is a non-coding RNA of Homo sapiens (human), 148 nucleotides long. It matches the Rfam family "Metazoan signal recognition particle RNA". From Rfam's summary of the family: The signal recognition particle (SRP) is a universally conserved ribonucleoprotein. It is involved in the co-translational targeting of proteins to membranes. Lineage: Eukaryota; Metazoa; Chordata; Mammalia; Primates; Hominidae. The record is from Rfam.